GAGUUUGGAUCUUGGCUCAGAUUGAACGCUGGCGGCAUGCCUUACACAUGCAAGUCGAACGGCAGCACGGGAGCUUGCUCCUGGUGGCGAGUGGCGAACGGGUGAGUAAUGCAUCGGAACGUAUCCUGGAGUGGGGGAUAACGUAGCGAAAGUUACGCUAAUACCGCAUAUUCUGUGAGCAGGAAAGCGGGGGACCUUCGGGCCUCGCGCUCUUGGAGCGGCCGAUGUCGGAUUAGCUAGUUGGUGAGGUAAAGGCUCACCAAGGCGACGAUCCGUAGCAGGUCUGAGAGGAUGAUCUGCCACACUGGAACUGAGACACGGUCCAGACUCCUACGGGAGGCAGCAGUGGGGAAUUUUGGACAAUGGGGGCAACCCUGAUCCAGCCAUGCCGCGUGAGUGAAGAAGGCCUCGGUUGUAAG
This 419-nucleotide ribosomal RNA is filed under the name bacterium enrichment culture clone ALO1_GLFRUDD03GOBTX. RNAcentral describes it as "bacterial SSU rRNA". It matches the Rfam family "Bacterial small subunit ribosomal RNA", at positions 9 to 429 of the family's 1533-position model. The record is from RNAcentral.